UGGGUCAUUCGUCUGAGACAUGCAUGAUGACCACAACAUUGUGAGUCUGAGGUCCAC
Rattus norvegicus (Norway rat) is the source of this 57-nucleotide small nucleolar RNA. Ensembl annotates it as small nucleolar RNA SNORD113/SNORD114 family. Lineage: Eukaryota; Metazoa; Chordata; Mammalia; Rodentia; Muridae. The record is from Ensembl.